AUUGAACGCUGGCGGCAUGCUUAGCACAUGCAAGUCGAACGGCAGCAUGGAGAGCUUGCUCUCUGAUGGCGAGUGGCGGACGGGUGAGUAACACGUAGGAAUCUGCCUAUUAGUGGGGGAUAACUCGGGGAAACUCGAGCUAAUACCGCAUACGCUCUACGGAGGAAAGCGGGGGAUCUUCGGACCUCGCGCUAAUAGAUGAGCCUGCGUCCGAUUAGCUAGUUGGUAGGGUAAAGGCCUACCAAGGCGACGAUCGGUAGCUGGUCUGAGAGGACGAUCAGCCACACUGGAACUGAGACACGGUCCAGACUCCUACGGGAGGCAGCAGUGGGGAAUAUUGGACAAUGGGCGCAAGCCUGAUCCAGCAAUGCCGCGUGUGUGAAGAAGGCCUGCGGGUUGUAAAGCACUUUAAGCAGGGAAGAAGGCUCUGGAGUUAAUACCUUUGGAGAUUGACGUUACCUGCAGAAUAAGCACCGGCUAACUCCGUGCCAGCCGCCGCCGUAA
This 504-nucleotide ribosomal RNA is filed under the name uncultured bacterium. Its description in RNAcentral is "partial 16S ribosomal RNA". It matches the Rfam family "Bacterial small subunit ribosomal RNA", at positions 30 to 523 of the family's 1533-position model. The record is from RNAcentral.